This 424-nucleotide ribosomal RNA is filed under the name Verrucomicrobiota bacterium. RNAcentral describes it as "Verrucomicrobia bacterium partial 16S ribosomal RNA". It matches the Rfam family "Bacterial small subunit ribosomal RNA", at positions 355 to 776 of the family's 1533-position model. The record is from RNAcentral. Lineage: Bacteria; Pseudomonadati; Verrucomicrobiota.
UGAGGAAUAUUGGUCAAUGGACGAGAGUCUGAACCAGCCAAGUAGCGUGCAGGAUGACGGCCCUAUGGGUUGUAAACUGCUUUUGUUUGGGAAUAAUCGACAUUACGUGUAAUGUUUUGCAUGUACCAUUCGAAUAAGGACCGGCUAAUUCCGUGCCAGCAGCCGCGGUAAUACGGAAGGUCCAGGCGUUAUCCGGAUUUAUUGGGUUUAAAGGGAGUGUAGGCGGUUGGUUAAGCGUGUUGUGAAAUGUAGAUGCUCAACAUCUGACUUGCAGCGCGAACUGGCUGACUUGAGUACACACAACGUAGGCGGAAUUCAUGGUGUAGCGGUAAAAUGCUUAGAUAUCAUGAAGAACUCCGAUUGCGAAGGCAGCUUACGGGAGUGUUACUGACGCUUAAGCUCGAAGGUGCGGGUAUCGAACAGG